This 238-nucleotide ribosomal RNA is filed under the name Pisidium sp. DK17_18. RNAcentral describes it as "partial large subunit ribosomal RNA". It matches the Rfam family "Eukaryotic small subunit ribosomal RNA", at positions 920 to 1155 of the family's 1831-position model. The record is from RNAcentral. Lineage: Eukaryota; Metazoa; Mollusca; Bivalvia; Venerida; Sphaeriidae.
UUGGACCGUCGCAAGACGAACUACAGCGAAAGCAUUUGCCAAGCAUGUUUUCAUUAAUCAAGAACGAAAGUCAGGAGGUUCGAAGACGAUCAGAUACCGUCGUAGUUCUGACCAUAAACGAUGCCAACCGUCGAUCCGCCGGAGUUGCUUCAAUGACUCGGCGGGCAGCCUCCGGGAAACCAAAGUUUUUGGGUUCCGGGGGGAGUAUGGUUGCAAAGCUGAAAACUUAAAGGAAUAG